UACAGAGGUGGCAAGCGUUGUUCGGAAUUACUGGGCGUAAAGGGCGCGUAGGCGGCUUGGUCAGUCCCGUGUGAAAUCCCUCGGCUCAACCGGGGAACUGCGUCUGAUACUGGCGGGCCUGAAUUCGGGAGAGGGAUGUGGAAUUCCAGGUGUAGCGGUGAAAUGCGUAGAUAUCAAGUGGAACACCAGUGGCGAAGGCGAAUCCCUGGAAAAUACCUGACACUGAGGCACGAAAGCUAGGGGAGCAAACAGG
RNAcentral lists this ribosomal RNA (253 nucleotides) under uncultured bacterium. RNAcentral's name for it is "partial 16S ribosomal RNA". It matches the Rfam family "Bacterial small subunit ribosomal RNA", at positions 524 to 776 of the family's 1533-position model. The record is from RNAcentral.